RNAcentral lists this long non-coding RNA (271 nucleotides) under Gossypium barbadense (sea-island cotton). RNAcentral's name for it is "long non-coding RNA (GBAR_LNC022410)". The record is from RNAcentral. Lineage: Eukaryota; Viridiplantae; Streptophyta; Magnoliopsida; Malvales; Malvaceae.
CAAAUUGGUUCGUUAAAGUGAUGACGGACGAUGAGAGAUUGUAAUUGUGGGGUGAGAAUAUGCGAAGCAAGUUUUAUUUUGGUUUCAACUUUUUCCUUUUCUUUUUUCAUAAACAUAAAAAAGUUUUAACAAAUAGAGAACAUAGAAAAACUACGUUAAAAGAGAUGGAGAACGAAAGAAAACAGAGGGAGAAGCAGAAGUAAAAGAAAAAAAGAAAGUUAAAAGAACAUAAAAGAAAAAAAUUAAAUUGCUCAAAACGAAAAAAUAUGGG